CUCACGAAGGGCGUUCCCUCCUGCUGGGAUCAGGCAGCUCCUGGUUUUGGUCCCUGGUCCCAUCACGGCUUGUUUGUGCUGGAUGGAAGCAGGUCAGAAAGUCGCACUGGUGCUUUUUGUCCUCUCCUGGAGAAUUACGGUUACUUUUUUUUCCAGCACAGCAGCUGGAAAACAGGAAAAGCAAUAAGAGCUGUUGGCUGCUCCUUCCUAUGGCUGUGCCUUCUAGAGGUCACUAAUUAUCCACAGCUGGCUACUCUAGAGUCUGUUCCCCGUGUCCCCUGGGCCAGCAUGCUGCUUUCUCACAUGGCCCAGAGUAACAGCACUGCACAAAGCAACCAUUCAAAAUUAAUGAACUGCAACCUAAAACAUUAGCAAACGAGCUGCAGUCCUUCCCUCCUCGCUGUAACAGGAAAGUCAGCCAGCACCCAAAGAGAAUAAAAGCACUGUGCCUCUUGGAGGAUAUUUGCAUAGGACUGGCCUUAAUACCCAGCCACUCGCCCUUGUGUAUUCAAGGAAGAAAGAGGGCAGAGAAUGAUUCACAGCAGCCACAACUCAAGAGCAGGAGUUAACCUUUCCACUCUGAUUCACCUGUGAGAGAUCUGUGCCUCUUCCUCCAUAAGCUCUGGGGGAGUGGAACAUCUCAGGGUAGGGCUGGGAUCCCCCUUUUGCUUUGUUGUGUGGAGCUGGGGCAGAACACACACCUCCUAAUUCCAGCACUUGUCUCUCAGCUAAUAACAGAACUCAUGCAAUAGCUGGGUGGGUGGGAAGCGGCCAGGCCAGGAGCUG
Long non-coding RNA from Oxyura jamaicensis (ruddy duck), 786 nucleotides. RefSeq lists it as uncharacterized. NCBI's taxonomy places the organism in Eukaryota, Metazoa, Chordata, Aves, Anseriformes, Anatidae. The record is from RefSeq and is a predicted model, not a curated record. The transcript is spliced from 3 exons.